UCACCCCCUUAUCCCAUCGCCGUCCAUGGCCUCCUCCUUCGUCGCCGCCGCGGCCACCAAAUCCGUCCUCCUCUCCUCUCCGUCGUGGUAUCCGUUACCGCCGAUCACCGCCGCUCCUCUCCCCCGCCGUAGCCUCUCCGUUUCGCGGAGCAACGCCCUUAGGGUUUCGGCGGCCGCCGUGAAAUGCGACCCCUCUAAGGUCAUUCCUCAAGCCGAUAGAGUGCUGAUUCGUCUGGAGGCGCUGCCCGAGAAAUCUUCAGGUGGAGUCUUGUUGCCAAAGUCAGCUGUUAAAUUUGAACGCUAUCUAAUGGGCGAGAUUUUGUCAGUUGGUGCUGAUGUUGCUGAAGUAGAAGCUGGAAAGAAGGUUCUGUUCUCGGAUAUCAAUGCAUAUGAGGUGGAUCUGGAUUCAGAUGUUAAGCAUUGCUUCUGUCGGGCUAGCGAUCUAUUGGCUGUGGUGGAAUAGUCAUAUUCGGUGGCGUUGAUCUAAAACUAUUUUUCCAUCGUCCUUAAUUGAGAAUGUUAGCUGUGUGCUAGAUUUUACCGAUGAAUUAUUACUGUACUAGAAAGUUUUAGAAGCUGAGGCUGUUUUCUAGUUACGUAUUUUGUUCUUGAACUACUACUCGUGAACUAUUUUGUGUCAAAAUAACAGGCCAUGAAAUAUUUUAAAG
This 668-nucleotide unclassified non-coding RNA is filed under the name Hevea brasiliensis (rubber tree). Lineage: Eukaryota; Viridiplantae; Streptophyta; Magnoliopsida; Malpighiales; Euphorbiaceae. The record is from RNAcentral.